Betta splendens (Siamese fighting fish) is the source of this 3944-nucleotide long non-coding RNA. RefSeq lists it as uncharacterized. The transcript is spliced from 8 exons. The record is from RefSeq and is a predicted model, not a curated record. NCBI's taxonomy places the organism in Eukaryota, Metazoa, Chordata, Actinopteri, Anabantiformes, Osphronemidae.
AAUGCAGGGUUUGUUUCGCGGCUCCUGUUGAUAAAGGGAUCUAUUCCAACAAUCCGUAAUCCCCUUGCUGAAGUAAGUACAUGUUUGAUACUUAAGAUGUUUUAAAAUGUUUGUCUGUUUAAAAUGUAGUAACCCACGUGUGAGGCAAGCUAAUAGCUAGCUAUCUAUGGUAAUGGCUACAGCCAGUCCACCGAGCCUUUGUCCCCUUCAAAUGUGCUUAUGUGGGCUCCUGCAGCCACACACCUGUGUGGGGAAAAGCUAAUGACUAUCGGCUUUCAAGCGGCUACAGGCAGGGAACGGUGUGUCGAGCUUUUGUUUUUUGCUUGCAAUCACGCACACCUGGGGGGAAGGUAAAGGCUAUACCCAGUCUGUCCAGGCAGUCUGGGUCUCUCCAGCUGGAAUCGUAGGCACGUAGCUUUGCUCCUGUAUUUUCUAUAGCUGUUAGUGUGCCAUUACCUCGCUAUUAUCAGCUAAACAGACGACUAAUCGUGCCACUGCCGUGUUGCAGUUACUGCUAAUUACUACAGCCACACAGAGAGGUAAGCGGCAAUGACGCACACGAUUCCACAUGUGCUACCGUGGUCCGCUGCAACCACACACACCUGGGGGUGAGCUAGUAGCUAGUGCCCUGCUAACGGCUGAGCGCGGUAGAGCGGGCUUUUGUCUGGUUGAAAUGUCACAGUAACCAUUCAAUUUAGUUACUUUGUGUUUCAAUGUGUUUUGCUUGUCCGGUCAGUUACUGUGUAAGAUGUGAGGGAGCAAUAAAUAUAACGGUGUUUUUCUACAGGCGGACACAUCACAGGUACGCAAACGCAAGGCGGUGGGCUGUCAAACCCAGACAGCACUGCGGGCUGUUGGGACACAGCUGUCUCGCAGAACAUUAGAAGCUCACCACAGGAGUAAAGGGAUGUACAGUAUGAUGAUUGUUUUUAUAUUUUGAUUGUUACAACAGUAUGGCACUAUUCAGUAUUCUGUAUACUAUUCUAGAUUUGAUUUAGAAGAUUUUUUUCUUUGCUAGGUCAACAGGCUACAGUUGAAAGCAGAGACUUUGGUGUCAGCACAGUUGGUGCUUUUCAAUUACCUGUCCUGUCAUCCACACCUAUUAAAAGACCAUCUCAGCGAGCACGUUUGGAGCUGGAGGAGGAUGAUGAUCCUUUAGAUGGAUCCUCAGUCACUGAGCCUUCCCUUCAGCAUGAUGAAACCUAUGAACCUGGAGAUACUACAACAUCCAGAUCUGAAAUUGUUCAAAAGUUCAUCUGAAUAACUGGCUGUUGAUUAUUAUAACUGUUGUACACAUAUAUUAGGGAUAUAUGGAUCAUAUAUUAUGUCAAUGUGAUCCAUCUGCUCUUGUUUUUCAGUGCUGUACAAGGUACCUCACUCCACAACCAGGCAAAAUACAUUGUUUAUGAGUCUUGUCUAAUGGAACUGUUUGAGUAUUGUCCUUUAUGCAAACGGAGGUGUGAGGUCAAGACAAGGAGGUUGGUCACCUUCCUGGCUGUGGAACAGCUCUGCACACACUGUCUUUUUUUUUUUUUUAAAGAUGGAAUAGCUAACCUUUAGUUGGUAGUACCCCAGCAGGCAACAUUCAUCUGUCUGCUGCAAUUUACAUCAGUGGCGCUUCGUAUUUCAAAUUUAAAAACGGCACUCGGCUAAAUAUGGAAGCUACACCAUGGUGGACCUCACGACCAACAAAGUGGUGGAUUUGCAGUUGGUUCAGAGUAAUGAGGUCGGUGGAAGCUACAAUAUGGAGAAAGAGGGAUUAAGCUUGGCAAAAAUGUCACAGCAUGGAGUCAAAUUGGAUUCAAUAGUAACUGAUCGCCAUCCAGCCAUUCAGAAAAUUUUGAGAGAGGAGAAGAUAAUGCAAUUCUACGAUGUGUGGCACAUAGAGAAAGGAAUCACUAAGAAGUUGGAGAAUGCCUCAAAAACUAAAGAAUGUAAAAAGCUACAGACGUGGAUAAAGGCGAUCAGAAAUCACAUUUAUUGGACUGCUGCCACAUCAUCAACAGGACCAGAGAAAAUAGCCAAAUGGAUGUCUCUCAUAAAUCACGUCCAGGAUGUACAUACACAUGAGGAUCCGAUUUUCCCAAAUUGCCUUCAUCCUGUGAAGCACACGCGAGACAAACAUAAAUGGCUGUCAAAAGGUUCCCCAUCUCUUCAAGAGUUGGAGAAAAUUAUGACUAAUAAAAGAAUACUAAAGGACGCAGAGAAGCUGAGCCCCCUUCACCAGUCCUCAUCGUUAGAAGCAUUCCAUAGUGUAAUAAUUCGAUUUGCCCAAAAGAGUGUGGUUUUUUCCUAUAUUGGAAUGCUAUGCAGACCGAUCACAGGCUACCUCUGCUGCUGGAGACCUGCUGUACAAGAUUUCAUUUCCAAAGGCAAAGAGGGGCGAGUGUGUUGAUAAACCACUCAAAGCAGCACCAACGUUUUAUUACGUUGAAAAUCUGCUUGACACUAUCUUCGAGAAAGUCCUGCUGGACUGGUAUGUGGAGGAACUUCGGAACAUUCCUGUUCCAGCGCCCCUUUGUGCAGAUUUUGAGUGGCCUGACAGAAGGGAGGUCAUCGAUGCGAUGGUUUCACGAUUCAACAACCCAUAGCAAAGCUAGUGAUGCCAUGAAGCCUUUACCUUCCCCCCAGGUGUGUGUGAUUGCAAGCAAGACCUGGAGACUUAAUCUGCUAGAGCUUCUGCACAGCUUCAGUGUGAUGUGAACAACAAAGAACAUGACAUCUCCCCAACCAUCUGUGGUCUUUCUAGCUUACUUCUACCAGGCUCUACAAACGUUCCUUUCAUUAGUCCAUCAUAAUGCUCCCUUCACUCCCCAACUUGGACAAUAAACAUCGGACUGUUCUGACAGGACUUAGAAAGAGAUCACAUUUCUACUACAUUAGCUUCUCUGCACUGGCUGCCUGUAAAAUGUAGGAUAGUGAUCCUCUCCCCCCUCUCUCUGUCUUCACCUACAGGUAUCAUUGGACUCAGAGUUUGGUGUCUGUAAUGGUAAACUGCUGUAAACCGCUGUGAUCCGCUGUAAACUGCGGAUCCAACCAUCCUGCCUGUGUCCAGUCCCUGGUCCAACCAUCCUGCCUGUAUCCAGUCCCAGGUCCAACCAUCCUGCCUGUGUCUAGUCCCUGGUCCAACCAUCCUGCCUGUGUCCAGUCCCUGGUCCAACCAUCCUGCGCUCUGUUGUUGCUGUGCUUUUCUCCCUCUCUAUCCCCUCACCCCAACCGGUCGAGGCAGAUGGCUGCCCACAUCCAGCCUGGUUCUGCUGGAGGUUUCUUCCUCGUUACGGAGGAAGUUUUUCCUCUCCACUGUUGCUGUCAAAUUAAAUGCUUGCUGUAUGUGGGAUUUGUUGGGUUUAGUUGUGUAAGUUCUUAAACCUUACUUUGUAAAGUGCCUUGAGAUAACUUUGUUGUAAUUUGGCGCUUUAUAAAUUGAAUUGAACUGUCAAAAUAAUGUUUGAUUAACGAUAAAAAUUAGCUUGGACUAAGAUUGGACUGACUUCAAUGAACUCAUAUAGACAUAUAGCUUAAUAACUUAACUUUUAUUGAUGAAAACAUAAUAUUUAAACUGCACAUUCUGCAUGUGAACCAAGCAUCACAGGAUAACCAUAAAGGAAAUAAAUAGUAAAAAUAAAAUUCUUGGAAAGAAAAAAAAGCUUUGUCCCUUAUGAAAAAGGUACUUCAGAAGUUAUUCCACUGGUGGUCUGAAUCCAACAUAGUUCCCUUGUCCGUCGGGGAACUCGGCUCUGAUGCGCAACACCACGCAUGUGGGGAUGACUACUCUGACUCUUCGUCCCAGAAAUCCCAAACACCAACUCACAAAACUUCUGUAUGACAGAAACCUGUAACGACUUGACACAAACAUACAUGUCAGGUUUAUCAAAGACUUCUAAUCCAGGAAAUUGCUAUAUUUAUUAGUUUCAUGUUAGUACUUGGCUACUAAACAUGCUCUU